Molecule: non-coding RNA, 570 nt
Organism: Rattus norvegicus (Norway rat)
Lineage: Eukaryota; Metazoa; Chordata; Mammalia; Rodentia; Muridae
Source: RefSeq, a predicted model, not a curated record
UGUCACCCUGUAGAUUCAACCAAGAUUUAGCUGUCAAAGUCAUCAUGGUAAAAGAAGACUAAGCAAAAACGAGGGUUUUAAACUUGUGUCUGUGCUUAACAUAACCUGGGGUUUUCUUUCUAUCAGCAAAUACAGAGGCUUUAGGUGAAGAUUAAGCAUGGACUGGAUUUGGAUACAUUUCUCUUACUUGUAGCUUAAACUAGGAGGAAAACUCAUCUGGCUCGCUCUGGAAAAAGUACCCGUGAGCACAAAAUAGAAUGAAUGUGGAAGAAAAAUAUCCAUAAAGGCAGCAAAAAAGACUGGACAAUCUCCAACAGAGCAAAUUGAUGUCUAGCUAAGAAGCCUGAUGACAUUGUCUUAAAGGAUGGACGUGCAGAUGGUGAAAAGGACACUGAAACAUGAAGGAGGAAAAGAAUCAUGGAGAAAGGAUUAAAAUGAAGGAAUGAAAAUAGAAGGAGUGGGGAAGUUCAGGUGUUCACACAUCUGCUCUAACAUAGUGAGUGAAGAAGGAUGGCACUUCAUGAGGAUCUGCAGAAGGGCGGAUAUAAAUAAACCAAAGCUCAAGCUGAA